CGCCUUUUCUUUUCCGGCAAACCAAUCAUUCCCCGAAAGGCUCCUAUCUCUCUUUCGUAUUACUUUUUUUCUAUUUUUAGAAUU
This 84-nucleotide transfer RNA is filed under the name Inga huberi. RNAcentral describes it as "tRNA-Tyr". The record is from RNAcentral. Lineage: Eukaryota; Viridiplantae; Streptophyta; Magnoliopsida; Fabales; Fabaceae.